RNAcentral lists this ribosomal RNA (250 nucleotides) under uncultured bacterium. Its description in RNAcentral is "partial 16S ribosomal RNA". It matches the Rfam family "Bacterial small subunit ribosomal RNA", at positions 524 to 771 of the family's 1533-position model. The record is from RNAcentral.
GACGAACCGUGCGAACGUUAUUCGGAAUCACUGGGCUUAAAGGGCGCGUAGGCGGCGGCGUAAGUUGGAAGUGAAAUCCCAUCGGCUCAACCGUGGAAUUGCUCCCAGUACUGCGUCGCUCGAGGUGGAUAGGGGCCUGCGGAACUACCGGUGGAGCGGUGAAAUGUGUUGAUAUCGGUGGGAACGCCAGUGGCGAAAGCGGCAGGCUAGACCUUUUCUGACGCUGAGUGCGCGAAAGCUAGGGGAGCAA